CCUAMGGGGCGCAGCAGGGCGAAAAACUUACAAUGCGGGAAACCGUGAUAAGGGGACACCGAGUGUCAGCAUCAUAUGCUGGCUGUCCAGGUGUGUAAAAAUACACCUGUUAGCAAGGGCCGGGCAAGACCGGUGCCAGCCGCCGCGGUAACACCGGCGGCCCGAGUGGUGAUCGUGAUUAUUGGGUCUAAAGGGUCCGUAGCCGGUUUGGUCAGUCCUCCGGGAAAUCUGAUAGCUCAACUAUUAGGCUAUCGGGGGAUACUGCCAGGCUUGGAACCGGGAGAGGUAAGAGGUACUACAGGGGUAGGAGUGAAAUCUUGUAAUCCCUGUGGGACCACCUGUGGCGAAGGCGUCUUACCAGAACGGGUUCGACGGUGAGGGACGAAAGCUGGGGGCACGAACCGGAUUAGAUACCCGGGUAGUCCCAGCCGUAAACGAUGCUCGCUAGGUGUCAGGCAUGGCGCGACCGUGUCUGGUGCCGCAGGGAAGCCGUGAAGCGAGCCACCUGGGAAGUACGGCCGCAAGGCUGAAACUUAAAGGAAWUWCGGGGGAGCAC
RNAcentral lists this ribosomal RNA (556 nucleotides) under uncultured Methanosarcina sp. RNAcentral's name for it is "bacterial SSU rRNA". It matches the Rfam family "Archaeal small subunit ribosomal RNA", at positions 322 to 879 of the family's 1478-position model. The record is from RNAcentral. Lineage: Archaea; Methanobacteriati; Methanobacteriota; Methanomicrobia; Methanosarcinales; Methanosarcinaceae.